RNAcentral lists this non-coding RNA (31 nucleotides) under Homo sapiens (human). The record is from RNAcentral. Lineage: Eukaryota; Metazoa; Chordata; Mammalia; Primates; Hominidae.
UGAGCAGCUCAUUCUAAGACUCUGUUGGCGC